Molecule: ribosomal RNA, 303 nt
Filed under: Staphylococcus caprae
Lineage: Bacteria; Bacillati; Bacillota; Bacilli; Caryophanales; Staphylococcaceae
Description: partial 16S ribosomal RNA
Rfam family: Bacterial small subunit ribosomal RNA
Source: RNAcentral
UUUAUGGAGAGUUUGAUCCUGGCUCAGGAUGAACGCUGGCGGCGUGCCUAAUACAUGCAAGUCGAGCGAACAGACGAGGAGCUUGCUCCUCUGACGUUAGCGGCGGACGGGUGAGUAACACGUGGAUAACCUACCUAUAAGACUGGGAUAACUUCGGGAAACCGGAGCUAAUACCGGAUAACAUGUUGAACCGCAUGGUUCAACAGUGAAAGACGGUCUUGCUGUCACUUAUAGAUGGAUCCGCGCCGCAUUAGCUAGUUGGUAAGGUAACGGCUUACCAAGGCAACGAUGCGUAGCCGACCU